CUUGAGGGUGGUAGAGGAGAGUGGAAUUCCCGGUGUAGUGGUGAAAUGCGUAGAUAUCGGGAGGAACACCAGUGGCGAAGGCGGCUCUCUGGGCCAUUCCUGACACUAAGACGCGAAAGCUAGGGGAGAGAACGGGAUUAGAAACCCCGGUAUUCCUAGCCGUAAACGAUGUCAACUAGGUGUAGGGGGUAUCCAACCCCCCCCUGUGCUGCAGCUAACGCAUUAAGUUGACCGCCUGGGGACUACGGCCGCAAGGCUAAAACUCAAAGGAAUUGACGGGGACCCGCACAAGCAGCGGAGCGUGUGGUUUAAUUCGAGGCUACGCGAAGAACCUUACCAGGGUUUGACAUGGCGGUGGUAGGAAAGUGAAAGCUGACCGACCCUUCGGGGAGCCGUCACAGGUGCUGCAUGGCUGUCGUCAGCUCGUGCCGUGAGGUGUUAGGUUAAGUCCUGUAACGAGCGCAACCCUCGUCGUUAGUUAUACGUGUCUAACGAGACUGCCGGUGAUAAGCCGGAGGAAGGUGGGGAUGACGUCAAGUCAGCAUGGCCUUUAUAUCCUGGGCUACACACACGCUACAAUGGCCGGUACAAUGGGUCGCGAAGCCGCGAGGCGGAGCCAAUCCUCUAAAGCCGGUCUCAGUUCGGAUUGCAGGCUGCAACUCGCCUGCAUGAAGUCGGAGUUGCUAGUAACCGCGCGUCAGCAACAGUGCGGUGAAUACGUUCCCGGGUCUUGUACACACCGCCCGUCACGUCAUGGAAGUUGGCAACGCCUGAAGUCAGUGGGCUAACCCUAACGGGAGGCAACUGCCCAAGGCGGGGUCGGUAACUGGGACGAAGUCGUAACAAGGUAGCC
Molecule: ribosomal RNA, 853 nt
Filed under: uncultured Chloroflexota bacterium
Lineage: Bacteria; Bacillati; Chloroflexota
Description: bacterial SSU rRNA
Rfam family: Bacterial small subunit ribosomal RNA
Source: RNAcentral